GCUGCUCCCCAAUUUCCAUGUUGAAAAGUUCUGCAAGACCAUACAAAAGGAAGCAGUUCAACUAUUAAUCUUUCCUAGACAGAAGAUUACACUAUAUCGUCAUACCUGAAUUCAGCAUACAAUCAGAUUUCUCAUCUUACAGUAACACUCAUCAAGCAGCUGCACAAAACUUGUAACCACUCCGGCUUUCUGCACAGCUCUUGCACCAACCUUGAAUCUCAAAGCACCGGUACCAGUCUUAAGGUGAGCUGUCCCUCAGCAACAACAACCCACCUACUAAGCUGCUGGUGCCACUGUUUGCUACAUGCUGUCACCUGCUGUUGUCUUCCCAUCUAGGCUAGCUGAAGAGAAUGGAAAAGCCAUGUUCACACAGUGAUGAUGUUAGAAGAUGUACUGCAGCAGCUUUUCUGGACAGCUUCCUUCAAGAAAGUAAGUUGAAAUGUUACUAGCAGCAAUGAACUCACCAGUUCUAAGAAAUUAAUCCUAGUGAUUCUUGCAAAGGUAUGACAAGUCAACAAGAAAAGUGCAACCAUAUUCCUUUACCUGUUAAAUUGGCUUCACCAAUUCUCUAUCUGCUGCAUAGGGAAGCCUCCGUAAUGGGAAGAAGAUGGUAAAGUACUAUCUGAAUAAUCAGAUCACACGUGAAUAAUCCAGUUGUGAAAGUUAGGAAAGUAAUGAUAAAGUCCAAAUUUUCAAAGCAUUUACUUGUUUUAAACAUUCCCCACUAUAAAACAAUGAAAAUUUUGUGAAAAGACUUGACAGAUGCUUGCUGUCCCAAUUUAAUCCAGAAAGAAGUACUAUUUUUCCUUAGCAAACACCAGUUCUGAGGGCUUCAAGAGAAAUGUAUUUCAUUUUGAAGUACAAAUUAAAAACCAAGUGAUUUUACAUUUAUAAAAAUGAGGAACUCAUAAAAAAAAUGAACAGAUGGAAAGGGCUACAAAUUAUUAAUAGAUGUAGAAUAAAAGCUUGAAUAAUUGAAAAUGUCAACUUCAGAUGUAUGACAGGCCACUGCUAAGUAGCUGAAAACCAUUAUCUCUUGAUUCUUGAACAAUUAUUUUUCGGUUUUCUCCACACCACCCUAGGUAACUGAGUCAGUAUAUGCUCUGAAGGGCAGUAAAAUUAAGCAGAAAAUAAAACAGAAAACCUGGUCAACACCACAGCACACCUUCCAAGAUGACUAUUUUAGAUCCAAUAUCCAGACAUUACUAUUCAUUAACUGUGAAAGAAUUACAUAGGACUCAUAUGCAGUAUUUUGAAGUCUGCCUCUUUUAAUGAUUCCACAGAGAACAUUAUCUUUUACCUUGAAGGGGACAGUGACAGAAGAAAGUAAAAGCAAUUCUGAUCAAAGGGUUCUAUAUCUUCAUUCUCUGAAGCCUGUUACCACCUAAAAAUACCGUUUGACUUGCCAAAUCUUUUUUUUUUUUUUUAACCUCUGAUUUAUCAAGGACUUUCUCCAAAAUCAGUACAAGCUUUGAGCUAUCAAUUUUAUUUUCUGAAGUGCUGUCACUAUUGUAAACGCAGUCUGAUCAAAAGAACUUCUCUCUCCUCAUCUGACUUCCUCCAAAUGAAGCAGCUGCUUUCAAACAAAUGAAAAACAUGAAAAAUUCUGACAGAUACAAGCAGUUGAAACCAGUAGGUUGGAAAGGAAACACAUGGAAGAAUCCCUAUGCCUACCAUGCUUCAUAGAGUACAGGUUUUGGUUUAUUCUUAUCACUGUACUAAUUAUGUAACACAUUAUUCUUAGCCAAGCCUUAGCUUGAGUUCCUUGCCUCCCCUGCACAUGAGAGAAACAGACUGAAAUAGUAGGUCUGAACAGGUAAGUGCUCCUGUUACUUCUCCCUCUUCAGACAAAGCAGGAGGCUCUCCCAACAUAUCCCAUGCUUCACAGCAUUCAGCUGAAAGCUCAGCCCAGUUUUUCAGCCCGUGGCUAGAACCUGAGCACAAGGAAGCCCAGCACCAAGCACCACCAUCUAUUUAAUUGAAGAGCCUGCUUUUCUGUUUCUGCUGCUUUGAUUUUUAUUAUCUGAAAGCUCUUCCUCUAAAUGGUAGAGAGGAAUACCA
Strigops habroptila (Kakapo) is the source of this 2061-nucleotide long non-coding RNA. RefSeq lists it as uncharacterized. The record is from RefSeq and is a predicted model, not a curated record. Lineage: Eukaryota; Metazoa; Chordata; Aves; Psittaciformes; Psittacidae. The transcript has 3 exons.